AUACGGAGGGCGCGAGCGUUAUUCGGAAUCAUUGGGCGUAAAGCGCGUGUAGGCGGCUGGGCAAGUCGGAUGUGAAAGCCCGGGGCUCAACCCCGGAAUUGCAUACGAAACUGCUCAGCUAGAGUCUCGGAGAGGAGGGCGGAAUUCCCGGUGUAGAGGUGAAAUUCGUAGAUAUCGGGAGGAACACCAGUGGCGAAGGCGGCCUUCUGGACGGUGACUGACGCUGAGGUGCGAAAGCGUGGGGAGCGAACAGGAUUAGAAACCCCAGUAGUCC
Molecule: ribosomal RNA, 274 nt
Filed under: uncultured bacterium
Lineage: Bacteria
Description: partial 16S ribosomal RNA
Rfam family: Bacterial small subunit ribosomal RNA
Source: RNAcentral